Felis catus (domestic cat) is the source of this 6065-nucleotide long non-coding RNA. RefSeq lists it as uncharacterized. NCBI's taxonomy places the organism in Eukaryota, Metazoa, Chordata, Mammalia, Carnivora, Felidae. The transcript has 2 exons. The record is from RefSeq and is a predicted model, not a curated record.
UUCUUUUCUUCUUUAUUAAAAGGUGAUUAUACAUUACAUAGAUUUUGGAAACUUUCUUUUUUCUAAUAACAUAUCCAUGAAUAUCUUUCCAUUUAGGAAAUAUUCCCUAGCUUAUUUCCUUUAACAGGUGCAGCUUAUCCACAGAUGGAAACACAAUGAAUUUAUUCCCCUACUAAUGGGCAUUUGUAAUUGUAUCUAUUUUAUUCACCAAUAUAAACAAUGCUGAAAUGAACAUCUUUAUGUCAAUGCUUAAUUCCUAUAGGACAAAUGUCUAGAAUGAAACUCACUAGAUCAAAAGAUAUAUUUGUAUAUUUAUAUGUGUGCAUAUAUAUAGUCAAAUUGCCCUCAAAAAAUGUGUUAUUGGAUUCUACUGCCAGUGAUGUAGGAAUAUAGGUAUCCUUGCCUUUUUGAAAGUUUGCAUUAUGCCUCUUUGCUUUUACAAAAGACCUACUUUAGUAUUUGUUUUUGCUAACAAAAAGAAAUCCAAAGAGGAUUUUCACUUUUACACACACACACAAAAAAAAGGAAGAAAUGAAAAUAGGGUUCAAUGUUUGUUUUUCAGUAAGUCAUUAUAGAGGCAACAGGAAUCCUGAGCAGCCACAGUGGUGCUGCCAAACUCCUUCCCCCAAAAUUAUACUCAGCAUCUCAGCAUCAAGCUGCCACAGCUUUGAACCGUGUCUGUGAGCAUCUGUGCUUUAAUUUUGUGCAUCCGUUAGCAAGAUGUGUCCUAAGGUAUCAGAAGAGCCUCAGAGAGGUAAUUUGGGGGUCUGGGAAUGCUCAAAAAUUUUGCCAUGUAAAUUAGUGGUAACUGCUUCAUUACGCCAUUUUGACGUAUGAAAGUCUACAUAGGAAUGCUCAACUUUUGAACAGCAGGAAAGCCAGCAUUGACAUCCUCAUCAAAACUGGCCAAGAUAAAGAAGAGAUAUGUUCAACUCUUUCAAUUUUGAAUUAUGUCUAGACGAUUUCCUAGGCUUUACUUACAAAUCACUCAUUUACUUUUUAGCUUUGUCCUUACUGCCAUUCUGGAGUGCAAACCUUAUCUUAGGGAGGGGUGUGCGUGGGUAUGUGUGUGUGCUGUCCAUGUUGAGAGAGAAAGAGCAUACACACAAAGAGAGAAUGCUUUUUCAUAAAAACCUGUUGUUAUGGGCACAAUAUCCUUUUUCACUUCUCUAUGGUUAAUAAUUAUAAAUAAUUUUGAGAACUUGUGUUCGAUUUUGGCAAACUCUUUCCUUUGAGAUAGGCAUUUCUCUUGCUUCAUAAUGUUGAUGUUCCGUAUAUAUGGUGAUUCUUUAUUGACCAUUUAUAUCUAUACACACAGGUCUUGACCUAGCAUGGAGAUCAGCAGCAGCUAUGUAAUUCUCUUUCAGUGUGAGAACUCUCUCUGGAAUGGGAGCACUAAUUCUAGGACUCAGUGAUGGAGAGAUAAGUGAUGCCUAUAGCCCUUUAGGCAAAGUAUGUGUGGAAGUGUUAGACAAGUUGGGGACCUUGGACAUAACAGUAAGACUCAUGAUCUUAGACACUUGAUAAAAUAUAAUCAGAUUCUUUGUUCAUAGCUUACUUUGGAGAGAAUAAAUUUACCAUGGUUACCCUUUGUUGUUUUAUUAUAGAUACACAACUAAAUAACAAAGGAGAAAGAAAAUAAUACCUACUUUUUCCCAAUGAAACCUUUCAACUGAAUGAUAUAGGGAUAUAUAUAUCCCUAUUGCUGUUGAAAUACAUGGCAUCUUUUUAAUGUGUUGGAUGUUUGUUAGUACAGUGUUGUGUACUAAUGGAUAAUAAUAGUAGCAACUACACUUAUUUCUUUCACAGCAGUUAUCAUAAUCUGUAUUAAUUGUGUAUAUUUGUCUGGUUGAAUAUUUAUUGCCCAUCUCUGCCAGUACUUUGUGGCAGGCAGAACCAUAUCUCUCUUACUAAGCAUCAUAGAUACAAAAGUCAAGAAAAUAGACAUUGCCUUGGCUGCCAUUUUUAUACUACUAUGUCCUCGUUGCUCAAAGGAAAGAUGGUUACUAUGAUAUUAUCUGACUUCCUGGCUGCACAAAUGUGACUAAUCUCUUAGAAGAACACUGUUCAUGUGAAGUAGAACAAUGCCCAUAUGUUCAUCAUUAAAAACUAGAGUGUGUUGUUGUUGUUAUAUAAAUAUCUGGUUGACUGUAAUGGAGUCCCAAAAGCUGCUGAUAAAUAGGUACGUGUGAGGAAGUAAACACAACCAGCAUUAGGAAUAACAUUGUCAUUUUCUCCAUGCCCCAAAAUAGAAUGGUUUCCUGAGAUAGGGAAAACCAUAUUUGUCAGACAUGAAAUUUAUGUUCCUUUGAAAGGGGCACCUGACAUUGUAAUGAAAGUCACAAAAGCAUGUAAAGAGGUCUAGAAGAAAACAAAAUGUUCCAAAGUGUAGAAAUAAUUGAUGGAAUCAUAAUAAUGCUGAUUUUAAUAACAAUCAAUCUAUGAAUGGCCUGCCAACUUCACUCUUUACCACAUUGUACUCUUAUUUAUGAUGAUUCUAAUGUAAUUGGAAGUAAUUUUAAAUUGCAAAUGCAUGUAGUACUUGGAUAACAGAAAUUCCUUUUGGGUGGCUGGGUCACCAUUGUGUCUGACUGUGUCUUCCCAAGCUUUGAAAAGGACACAUCACACACUGUGUGGAUGUGGCGGUGAGGCAAACCAGAGGGUCCUCUGCAGCUGUCAAGGAGAUCAACAAUGCCAGCUCAUAUUCUGCAGUCAUAAUUUAGUAAAAUGAUCCUGACCAACACUCAAAUUUAUUUUGAUGAGGAAAAGCGCAAAGUACAUACUCAAGCCUCUCUGAUGAAGUCUUUAGCACACAAUGGAUUCUUCUCCAUGAGACAGAUGGCCUCACCCUUGGCUACCUGUCCCAGUUAGUUGAUGGUAUUUCCAAAUGAGCUACCUGGCUGUUGAGUCUUGUGUGGGUAUGCACAUGCAGAGCCAUCAGCUAGGUAUUGGCACAGAAUAGAAAGCUUUUGCAUUCAGAAAACUCCUAGCUCAUUCCCUGUACCUUCAGCAUCAAAAUUGCAUCAAGAAUUAUCAAGAAUAAUGGCACACACAUUUCACUCAUAGUAUAAAUGGUGAAGCUGAGAGAAUGAGUCUUCAACAAAUGAAAUCUUGUACUGUCAGAGCUUGAGUAAUAUUUAAGAAAAUAUUCCUCAACACAAAUACUCUUGUCUAUUCUUCUUCUCUUGCAAGGUGGGAACCAAUGGAAGAAUGUAGUUAAAAUAUUUCAUUGUAAGAAUAAAGCGUGCUAUGUGCUGUUGUAGGAAGAUUGGAUUAUUUCUUUUGAUCACCGAAAGUCCUUUUCCCAUUAAUCAUAAGAUUAGUAAUAGUUAUUGUAACUGUCAUAAGAAGACGCAUCUUAAUUGAACACCUGUUAUACUGAACCACUCUCACAUACAUUAUCUCAGUUAAUUCAUGAAAGUUCUGUUAAUAAAUGUCCAGAUUUCAUUAAUAUCACCAUUGUAUGGAUGAGAUAAACUGAGACAUGUAGACAGGAGCCUCUGGCUCAGGAAUACAUGGUUUGUGAGUAGAGAGGUCAAAUUGCAACCCAGAUCAGAUCUUCUGAAAUCUGUAUCAUUAGCUCUCAACUAGUACUCAGUGCUAUCUUGGUGGUUUCCAUCCUGGGCUCAUAUUUUAAAACAAAACUCAUGGAAACCUCAGGUGGAUUUGCUGGUCAUCGAUAGUUACACCUUCCCUUUCAUUACUGUCCAACUUUGCAGUUUCCAAAGCCAACUUUAAAAGGGAAUUGUGGAAUGUUUGUACUGUAGAAUAUAAUUGUAUUUUUUUAAAAGUGACUCAAAUGUAUGGUUUAAUAAGAAAAAAAAUGAAGCCAUCUGUGAAGAUAAAAAGUUAUCUCUUCUUUUUGUGUCCACAUACCCCAAAUCUGCAAUGCCAACAUAAAGUCUGUUCCUCUGUUUUCAUAGCUCAAGUACAUGUAAGUCUGGGUUUUUACAUUCCACCUUGAAUCAAUCAAGCAAGCAAUAUUCUCUCCCUCUCACUCUUUUUUCCCCUCUCUAAUUUUCUUUUUCCUAGGGAACCCCUGAGAUGAUCUUUUAAGUACUGUUGGGAGGAAAUGCAUUUUCAAUAUCUCAGUGGUUGGUACUGCCAGUUCAUUGAUACGUUGGUAAUUCUUUUUCAGAGAAUUUUCGUUCCUACCUUCUACUUAUGAGCUUCUACCUGGUCCCAGAGCUUACAAAAGUAUUGUGAAAACACAAAAGCCUUUUUAAAUUGAAAUCUUCAAAACGUUUUAAUUCUAAACAUCAUCUAAACAACAUAUAGUUCAGGUAAUUCAUGACAGAUAGGUACACAGUAGUCUGUGAUAGGUGAUCAAAAAACGAAAAAGCUGUGUCCCUGUUGCUAACUACAGGGUACAUUUGCCUUUCUAAAAAUGGCUAAGGGUUAUAGAGGGAAUGGAACACAACAGCUGGAUAAGAGCACCCAUUAGGAUUUUCAACAGAGUGUUAUGAUUGGUUAACCCACUUGUAGAACCAGAUAAUAUCAGCUGGUGGAAUGCGAUAACCUGAGUUCUAAUCUAGCAUGACCAUCAGUAGUAGUAUUACCUUGAGCAAGUCACUUUCCACCUUUUAGCAUCAAAUUUCCUCAUCUAUAAAAUGGGAAUAAUAAAUCUAUGUUUCUCAUACAAUUGAUGUAAAGAUUAAACAAGAUAAUGCAUUAAAGCAUUUAGAAUAGUUCCUGACUCAUAAUAAGACUUGGAAUUUAUUGAUCACUUACUACUAUUUGCCACAGUCCACUUAUCCAUCCCAUGACAAACGAUAUCUUUAUAAGGACACAUUGAGUAUAUGCAUGUGAGAAGUGUAGGGCAACUCCUUAUUAAAUGCCUAAGCAAUGCAACUUCAUGCUUUAAUAGCCAAAAAAAAAACAGGUUUUAUGUAGAGCCUCUGACUUUUCUUAUCCUUAAUGUUUUAGAUUAGAGAUGGAAAAGUCUGCUAUCUUGGGUGAAUAAUGAUGCAUGUCUUUAUGACUUAAGUGUUUAAAGGAGCUGUAGCACAUUUGUUAAGAUUUAUUUCCUCUCAGGCAUCAUAGCCCAAAGGUUGCUGCAUGUUUAUGUGGAGGGCCUAUUUUCUCCAGGUAGUUCUGUACAGCAGUCACUUUGAUUGAGCGAGGGCUUUAAAAAUGGAAACGUGUUUACAGAGUAGAAAAGGGAGGCAAGUCUUGGCAUAAGUGGGACUUGAUGAGUUUCUAUGGUAACUUCAUUCAGUAUCACAAGGGCCAAUCUCAUGGAAUGAGGUGAUGUUCAGAGAUGUGUUCUGGAAUUUUCUUGAAGGACAACCUAACUAUUAAGAUUAAGAAAAAAGUACAAUUUGUCCAUCACUUAACUUUGCUGGAACUCUGGAGCCAUUAAAAGGAACUGGUACAUUAUAUAUUAAAGAUAUUAGAUAUUAAAGAUAUUAGACAUUAACUUAGAUAUUAAACCUUAACAAGUGAAGCUUAAGACCUGUUGGUACAUGAGAGAUCUCUCAGCUUAGAAGCCCCACUUCCCAUUUGCCAAAGACCUGUUGAAAUUCUGAGGAAAGAGACAAAGCCAGAUUCCAGAACACUCCCAGUCUCAUCACCAGAUUCCUACUUGUUGAAAAAUCUGUUGUCAAAUGUCUUAGAACAUGUCGUCAGACACAUGUAACAAAAAGGAUACCUAGAGCAUGGCGGUAGUGGUAUCUCAGCUUUAAUUUUUUCAUUUGCUACUUUGCUAUUGAGCUUUAGUGAUGUGUUCUCUGCUAACCUCAGAGCCAAUUGACUCAGGUGUACUACAGGGUACCAAGAAACAAAGUUUGAUUUCUUUAAGUCUGCUGUUUUAAAUCAAAUGGCACGUUCAAGAGAAGGAAGUAAACAGAGCCAGACAUGGAAGUGGAGGCCUGAGGAAGCCACACUGUGUCUUCCAUCAGCAGACAUUUUACCUGGUGAAGAUCAGUUUAAAGUGAAUAGCGUGAAUGACCAUGGAGCUGAGAACAUGGGCCAAGAGUUUUCUGUUGUAUCCCAUUUCUUCAGUCCUCUUGUGCUGCCCAACCACCAAUAACCCCCACCAAAUAUUAAUCCUUUAUUUCAUCUUA